UACGGGGGGAGCAAGCGUUGUUCGGAUUUACUGGGCGUAAAGGGCGCGUAGGCGGCCACCGCAAGUCGACUGUGAAAUCUCCGGGCUUAACCCGGAAAGGUCAGCCGAUACUGCGGGGCUAGAGUGCAGAAGGGGCAACUGGAAUUCUCGGUGUAGCGGUGAAAUGCGUAGAUAUGACAUAGAACACCAAUUGCGAAGGCAGCUGGCUACACAUAUAUUGACACUGAGGCACGAAAGCGUGGGGAUCAAACAGG
RNAcentral lists this ribosomal RNA (254 nucleotides) under uncultured bacterium. RNAcentral describes it as "partial 16S ribosomal RNA". It matches the Rfam family "Bacterial small subunit ribosomal RNA", at positions 524 to 776 of the family's 1533-position model. The record is from RNAcentral.